GACGAACGCUGGCGGCGUGCUUAACACAUGCAAGUCGAACGGAAAGGCCCUGCUUUUGUGGGGUGCUCGAGUGGCGAACGGGUGAGUAACACGUGAGUAACCUGCCCUUGACUUUGGGAUAACUUCAUGAAACUGGGGCUAAUACCGGAUAGGAGCUCCUGCUGCAUGGUGGGGGUUGUAAAGUUUCGGCGGUUGGGUAUGGACUCGCGGCUUAUCAGCUUGUUGGUGGGGUAGUGGCUUACCAAGGCUUUGACGGGUAGCCGGCCUGAGAGGGUGACAGGCCAAAUUGGGACUCAGAUACGGCCCAGACUCCUACGGGAGGCAGUAGUGGGAAAUAUUGUACCAUGGACGGAAGACUGAUGCAGCAACGCCGCGUGAGGGAUGACGGCCUUCGGGUUGUAAACCGCUUUCGCCUGUGACGAAGCGUGAGUGACGGUAAUGGGUAAAGAAGCACCGGCUAACUACGUG
Molecule: ribosomal RNA, 468 nt
Filed under: uncultured bacterium
Lineage: Bacteria
Description: partial 16S ribosomal RNA
Rfam family: Bacterial small subunit ribosomal RNA
Source: RNAcentral